RNAcentral lists this transfer RNA (61 nucleotides) under Hybosorus sp. HYB01. RNAcentral's name for it is "tRNA-Cys". The record is from RNAcentral. RNAcentral also lists the same sequence under 1 other name. Lineage: Eukaryota; Metazoa; Arthropoda; Insecta; Coleoptera; Hybosoridae.
GGUCUUAUAUUCAAUUAUGAUAUUAAAUUGCAAAUUUAAAGGUAGAUUAAUCUUAAGGCUU